RNAcentral lists this ribosomal RNA (449 nucleotides) under uncultured bacterium. RNAcentral describes it as "bacterial SSU rRNA". It matches the Rfam family "Bacterial small subunit ribosomal RNA", at positions 329 to 794 of the family's 1533-position model. The record is from RNAcentral.
UUCCAGACUCCUACGGGAGGCAGCAGUGGGGAAUAUUGCACAAUGGGGGAAACCCUGAUGCAGCGACGCCGCGUGAAGGAAGAAGUAUCUCGGUAUGUAAACUUCUAUCAGCAGGGAAGAAAACAGACGGUACCUGACUAAGAAGCCCCGGCUAACUACGUGCCAGCAGCCGCGGUAAUACGUAGGGGGCAAGCGUUAUCCGGAUUUACUGGGUGUAAAGGGAGCGUAGACGGCAGUGCAAGUCUGAAGUGAAAGGCAAGGGCUCAACCCUUGGACUGCUUUGGAAACUGUGCUGCUGGAGUGUCGGAGAGGCAAGUGGAAUUCCUAGUGUAGCGGUGAAAUGCGUAGAUAUUAGGAGGAACACCAGUGGCGAAGGCGGCUUGCUGGACGAUGACUGACGUUGAGGCUCGAAAGCGUGGGGAGCAAACAGGAUUAGAUACCCGAGUAAA